Molecule: long non-coding RNA, 949 nt
Organism: Myotis myotis
Lineage: Eukaryota; Metazoa; Chordata; Mammalia; Chiroptera; Vespertilionidae
Exons: 2
Source: RefSeq, a predicted model, not a curated record
UCUGCCACACAAAUGCGCGCGCAGGGACGGAAUUUGAGAAUUUGAAAGUGGCGGGAACGGAGGGGCACCUGCCAUUUUAUUUACCGACCGAGAGACGGUCGUCUCCUGUGCGGGUGGGAAACUGAAGGCACCCGUGGGAGGCAGGUCCCAGGGUCUCCGGAGCGGGGACCAGGCUCCCAGCGGCCCUCCCGGUCCCAGGCCUCCGAGGGGCGGGCCGCGGGGCACAGCGGGACAGGCUCGCAGGGACACUGGGUGUCCGGUGCCUGCCAGCCUCGCCCCCGCCCCGACAUUCUGGCCGUGGGGCGUCCCGGGCCUCGUGAAGCAGCUCUCGCUCGCCCCCAGGCGGUCAGAUGCGCGUCUGCACUGCGCACCUGCGUGACACUGGUUUCCUCCGUAAGACGUGGCUGCGGACACCUCCCGAGGUUUAUGACCGCUCGGCAAAUGCUACCCGCUGCUUUUGCCGGCUCCCCGACUCGCGCUGGACUCCUGACCAUGCUGGACCCUAAGCUGUGCACAGGAAGAACAACACUUUUAAUCAUCGGAAUCGAAGACACAGCGUCAAGACCUAGGCCGAGUGUCCAAGACGCACUCCCUCUAAGGGGCCGCCCUCCAGUCCUGGGCGUUACUGGGCGUCUUUCACGGUCCCGCCUGGCCUGUGCAGCCCUUGCCUUGCCUGGUCUGCGAGCUUUUGCUGCUGUCAGUGAAGAGCUUGCAUUUGGCUCCUUCGUUCACCUUUUCCAAAGCAGGGAGCAGUGCGAGGGCGGCGAAGGAGUGGGGGUACAGCCCUCGCUCCCUAACGUGGGCAACGGCCACGCAGUGCUUGCGAGGGAUUCUACCAGUUACCUUAACAAAUACAUGAAAUCCGCAUCUUACAGUGUCUUAAUGUUUUAAAGUGGAGCCUUUUCAGUAUAACUUAAUUACUUAAUUUCUCUAAAAAUUUCCUUAAAAU